This 409-nucleotide ribosomal RNA is filed under the name Lecanora variolascens. Its description in RNAcentral is "partial small subunit ribosomal RNA". It matches the Rfam family "Bacterial small subunit ribosomal RNA", at positions 805 to 1218 of the family's 1533-position model. Lineage: Eukaryota; Fungi; Ascomycota; Lecanoromycetes; Lecanorales; Lecanoraceae. The record is from RNAcentral.
AAUGAUGAAUGUCAUAGAUUAGACCUUAGUUUAUUCUAUAAAUGAAAGUGUAAGCAUUCCACCUCAAGAGUAAUUUGGCAACAUUGGAACUGAAAUCAUUAGACCGUUUCUGAAACCAGUAGUGAAGUAUGUUGUUUAAUUUGAUAAUCCGCAAAAAACCUUACCACAAUUUGAAUAUUUAUAUUUUUUUAUUUCUAAACAUUUAUAAUUUUGAUUAUAAAUGAAAAAUAAAAAGAUAUUUUUACAAGCGUUGCACGGCUGUCUUCAGUUAAUGUCGUGAGAUUUUGGUUAGUUCCAUUAAAUUAACGUAAACCCUUGCUAUAUUUUUACAUAUAGUAGUUCUCCAUCAUAUUGGAUAAGAUAACAGGGACUAAGACAAGUCAUCAUGGCCUGAAUAUUGUGGGCUAUA